AUAACUCAAGCUGCGCACCAUUGUAUGAUUGUAUCUUCGAGGCUUCUCAUAUAUACACACACCUUCAUUCCUUCCUUUUCUGUGUGUCUCUUCUCUAUCCUUUCCUCUCCUCAACAGGGUAAUAUGUAUCCAACCUUUGGAGCAGAUGAAGAUACUGAUUUGCAAUCCACAAACAUAAAAUCUGAUAGCUUCAUAGUUGAAAUGGAGCGGUUUUCUCAUUCAUCAUCCAAAAAUGUCUCUCCAAUAAAUUCAAGGAUC
This 258-nucleotide long non-coding RNA is filed under the name Daucus carota (carrot). Its description in RNAcentral is "long non-coding RNA (DCAR_LNC007408)". Lineage: Eukaryota; Viridiplantae; Streptophyta; Magnoliopsida; Apiales; Apiaceae. The record is from RNAcentral.